Molecule: ribosomal RNA, 639 nt
Filed under: Triticum aestivum (bread wheat)
Lineage: Eukaryota; Viridiplantae; Streptophyta; Magnoliopsida; Poales; Poaceae
Description: partial small subunit ribosomal RNA
Source: RNAcentral
AUGCAUGAGUUAACUAAGGAAAACAUUGAGCGCAUGAAUGCUAAAUAUAAACUUGCUGGAGAUAAGGGUAGAAAACAUGUUGUGUUUGCACCUGGAGAUCUUGUUUGGUUACAUUUGCGUAAGGAUAGAUUUCCUGAUUUGCGCAAAUCAAAGUUAAUGCCACGUGCUGAUGGUCCCUUUAAGGUGUUAGAGAAAAUAAAUGAUAAUGCAUAUAAACUUGAGCUGCCUGCAGAUUUUGGGGUUAGUCCCACUUUUAACAUUGCAGAUUUGAAGCCUUAUUUGGGUGAGGAAGAUGAACUUCCGUCGAGGACGACUUCAUUUCAAGAAGGGGAGGAUGAUGAGGACAUCAAUACAAUUGUUACACCCACAGCCCCUGCUGCUAUACAUACUGGACCAAUUACUAGAGCUCGUGCACGCCAACUAAAUUACCAGGUACUUUCGUUUCUUGGUAAUGAUUCUAAUGUUCAUGAGAAUAUGAUGCUGCCUAAAUUGGAUACAUUUGUUUUGCUUACAAAUGAAGGGCCUAGCUUGGAGAAGGAUGAACAUUGGAGCAAGAACAAGCAUGGAGAUGAUGGCAUGCGCAAGGGAAACAAGAACGGAGUUACAAGUGAUGAUUUCAGGACUUUGAAGCCACCAUAA